This is a long non-coding RNA of Cygnus olor (mute swan), 2618 nucleotides long. RefSeq lists it as uncharacterized. Lineage: Eukaryota; Metazoa; Chordata; Aves; Anseriformes; Anatidae. The record is from RefSeq and is a predicted model, not a curated record. The transcript has 2 exons.
UCCCUUCCCUCGGCCCCGGCCCCGGCCCCGCCGCCCGCCAGGUGGCGCCGGGCUGCUGCUGUAGCAGCCGCUGGUGCCCCCGGUCGGCGCCGAGGAGGGGACGGCGGCAGCCUGUUCCGAAAGCCCUUCAGAAAGCGGCGAGGGGAGAAACCCUGACGUGCCGUACCGCCCCGCGCCGCGUCCGGGGCCCGGGAGCGCCAUUUUGUGAGCGGGGGGCCGCGGGAGGCCGCCCCGGGGGAGGCGAGGAUUUCCUUUGGUGUGAUCCAGCGCCUGUUGUGUGUCUGGAGAGGAGAGGAGCACUGUAUCAGACGUCCAACUCCAAUGCUACGUCACGACAGAAAGAGGAUUACACAUAGAGAUUACAGCUCUCAGCGUACCACAUAAAUAUCUAACAGAAGCAUUUCAUAUCAGAAUUAGAACUGCCACUGGAGAAUUCAGCGUUUGGGUAAUUUGAUGACUGUCCAUAAGUCAUGUCAGCUACAACUGGAACACGCAACGGAGAGGAAAUCCAUCAAGUGUCUGAAUGCAUGGAUGUUUGUGUUGCUGAGUUAGCAAGGGCCUAACAAUGGUGCAUGAUGUCACUUCUUAUCUCUAAUGCCUUUGCGGUAAUCCACUGCUGCAGUUGCUGUGGGAUCCGGACAUAUGGUAAAAACUCAUAAAGGCAACAGUCCAUAAGGUCAACAGACAUAUGUCUGAAAGGCCAAAAAGUUAAUAUGCUGAGAAGUCUGUAAACCAGGAAGCUGAAAACAAAAUAAGUAUCAGGUGUGUUUCCAAGAAGGGAAAAAGGCAAUAUUGAAAGACUGGUAAGAAAUUUACUUCAAAAAUGUUUUUGUUACUUUUUUUUUUUUUUAAUGCAGAACAAAGUUUGCAUACAAUUCUUUAGCUGAGUAAAUAUCAUUAAAGCAACAAAACACAACUUCAGUCUACCAAGAAGUGUGAGAGAGCUAGAAAUAAUAUGUAUGUCAGUAGUACAUUAACUCUUUCUCAGACCAGUGUAUACUGUUUCUCACUGACUUCUGGAUACUCCAAAGUGUUUGAUCUUGCAGGAAGCAAGCACAUGGUGAAAACGUCAAUAUUCAGAAGUGUUGAGCCUAUACUGUGUAAAAUACAAAUGUAAACACUAUGUAUUACUUCAGGAAAUUUUUAAUUAUACUAUGCUGUUUCAAACUCAAGAUAUAUUUUUAAAUUAGAGAUAGGUUGUUAAACCCAGAGGUUGUUAAAUAAUGUUGGAAUCUGAUUAAUGCACAUUCUGGCAGUUACAGAACACAUUCACAAUUAGUAGAUAGUGUGGAUAGCUGGCAAGAUUUAUUUGUUUUCUAUUGCUUCUUGGUUUGCUGGCUUCAUUUUGGAAUUAAUCUUGGAAAAUGCUAUAGAUGUCAUAUUACAGAAGUAAGGAGAACUCUAUGCGGCAGCUUUACUUGUCUCUGACUUCACUGAGCCAUGGAGUCCAAGAUGCCAAAUUGUGCUUCUUUUCCCACUGUCAGCAUGUACUUCUGGUCCGAUGCAGCAUCCAACAUCAUUGAAAUCCUCAGGCCUAUUUGUCUUUACAUUCCCUUUAAUUCCCUUUUGUUACCUUUUUGUCUAAGUCCUCCUCUUUCACCUUCUUACCUGCAGAACACUGCAACCAAUCUUAUCACUCAGACUAAGAAUAGAAGCAAAUCACCUUGAAAUGACUCCUCGGUCCUUUAAGAAUACAGCUCAAAACCACCUCUUUCUUUCAGAAAUCUAUAUGGAUUUUCUGCAGUUUACCUCACGGAUAUAACCUUUAACUUGCCUCUCCAGCAUCACUUCUUUUUUCUUUUAUCUUUCUGUCUUCCUUUCUUUUUUUUUCAACCUGCUUCCUUUUUUUUUUUUUUUUUCCCCCUUUGCAGACUGUGCAAGCCAUUAAUGUCAUCGUUUUCUUCUCUACAUUUCCUGCCAUCUGUAUCUUGCUAACUUAACACAUCCCACCUCUUUCAGACUGUAUUGUAUAACAUACCCCUUUCCCCUUGUCAGUGCCUCUGGUUGCUUUCUGCCUUAAUUCUAUCUAUAAUAGAAUAAUUUAUUCACUAAAUUACAUUUUAUAUGUUUUCUGCAGUCUAUACCUUUUGUUGUUACUCUCAGUGUAGAGUGUUUUCUCCUUACAGAUGAUGGAUUGAGAGAGAGGCAAAGUAUGUUAAUCACAAGCAAUCAGGGCAUUGAAACUGAGAAAAAUUUUACCAAAGUGGCUGACAGAUGGCUCUGCGCUGUAGUCUGUUUAUUUCAUAGCUAUCUUGCUCUUCCGUACUGUCCCUAUCUUCCAAAAGUUCACUGGUCUCGUUACUGGGAGCAGAGGUCAGGUAACAGCUGUGGUGCCCAGUGUUGACGCUGUUCCAAAGGUCAUACUUUACAGUCUACAAAUUACUGCUAUCAAUAAGGGAGGAAUUGGUAGGAGUUAGAAAAAGUCAAGAAGGCAGCGGAGUGCUGUCCUAACAUCCAAACAAUUUGUUCCUGAUUUCCCCACGGGUGUUUAGUCUCCUGGUGUUUUCUUGAACAAAUAUUCUGACUAGGACUGUGUCUACCUAGAGAACAUAAAUUUUUCCACAGAAAUUGUUCCAGGGUAAGCUAUUUUCCUGAACAUUUUAAUCAGAAAAACAAAA